UUAAGCGACUAAGCGUACACGGUGGAUGCCCUGGCAGUCAGAGGCGAUGAAGGACGUGCUAAUCUGCGAAAAGCGUCGGUAAGGUGAUAUGAACCGUUACAGCCGGCGAUGUCCGAAUGGGGAAACCCAGUGCAAUUCGUUGCACUAUCGUUAACUGAAUACAUAGGUUAACGAGGCGAACCGGGGGAACUGAAACAUCUAAGUACCCCGAGGAAAAGAAAUCAACCGAGAUUCCCCCAGUAGCGGCGAGCGAACGGGGAGCAGCCCAGAGUCUGAAUCAGCUUGUGUGUUAGUGGAACGGUCUGGAAAGUCCGACGGUACAGGGUGAUAGUCCCGUACACCAAAAUGCACAGGUUGUGAACUCGAAGAGUAGGGCGGGACACGUGGUAUCCUGUCUGAAUAUGGGGGGACCAUCCUCCAAGGCUAAAUACUCCUGACUGACCGAUAGUGAACCAGUACCGUGAGGGAAAGGCGAAAAGAACCCCGGCGAGGGGAGUGAAAAAGAACCUGAAACCGUGUACGUACAAGCAGUGGGAGCACCUUCGGGUGUGACUGCGUACCUUUUGUAUAAUGGGUCAGCGACUUAUAUUCUGUAGCAAGGUUAACCGUAUAGGGGAGCCGCAGGGAAACCGAGUCUUAACUGGGCGUUAAGUUGCAGGGUAUAGACCCGAAACCCGGUGAUCUAGCCAUGGGCAGGUUGAAGGUUGGGUAACACUAACUGGAGGACCGAACCGACUAAUGUUGAAAAAUUAGCGGAUGACUUGUGGCUGGGGGUGAAAGGCCAAUCAAACCGGGAGAUAGCUGGUUCUCCCCGAAAGCUAUUUAGGUAGCGCCUCGUGAACUCAUCUUCGGGGGUAGAGCACUGUUUCGGCUAGGGGGUCAUCCCGACUUACCAACCCGAUGCAAACUACGAAUACCGAAGAAUGUUAUCACGGGAGACACACGGCGGGUGCUAACGUCCGUCGUGAAGAGGGAAACAACCCAGACCGCCAGCUAAGGUCCCAAAGUCAUGGUUAAGUGGGAAACGAUGUGGGAAGGCACAGACAGCCAGGAUGUUGGCUUAGAAGCAGCCAUCAUUUAAAGAAAGCGUAAUAGCUCACUGGUCGAGUCGGCCUGCGCGGAAGAUGUAACGGGGCUAAACCAUGCACCGAAGCUGCGGCAGCGACACUAUGUGUUGUUGGGUAGGGGAGCGUUCUGUAAGCCUGCGAAGGUGUGCUGUGAGGCAUGCUGGAGGUAUCAGAAGUGCGAAUGCUGACAUAAGUAACGAUAAAGCGGGUGAAAAGCCCGCUCGCCGGAAGACCAAGGGUUCCUGUCCAACGUUAAUCGGGGCAGGGUGAGUCGACCCCUAAGGCGAGGCCGAAAGGCGUAGUCGAUGGGAAACAGGUUAAUAUUCCUGUACUUGGUGUUACUGCGAAGGGGGGACGGAGAAGGCUAUGUUAGCCGGGCGACGGUUGUCCCGGUUUAAGCAUGUAGGCUGGUUAUCCAGGCAAAUCCGGAUAAUCAAGGCUGAGGUGUGAUGACGAGGCACUACGGUGCUGAAGUAACAAAUGCCCUGCUUCCAGGAAAAGCCUCUAAGCAUCAGGUAACAUCAAAUCGUACCCCAAACCGACACAGGUGGUCAGGUAGAGAAUACCAAGGCGCUUGAGAGAACUCGGGUGAAGGAACUAGGCAAAAUGGUGCCGUAACUUCGGGAGAAGGCACGCUGGUGUGUAGGUGAAGCCCCUGCGGGUGGAGCUGAGACCAGUCGAAGAUACCAGCUGGCUGCAACUGUUUAUUAAAAACACAGCACUGUGCAAACACGAAAGUGGACGUAUACGGUGUGACGCCUGCCCGGUGCCGGAAGGUUAAUUGAUGGGGUUAUCCGUAAGGAGAAGCUCUUGAUCGAAGCCCCGGUAAACGGCGGCCGUAACUAUAACGGUCCUAAGGUAGCGAAAUUCCUUGUCGGGUAAGUUCCGACCUGCACGAAUGGCGUAAUGAUGGCCAGGCUGUCUCCACCCGAGACUCAGUGAAAUUGAACUCGCUGUGAAGAUGCAGUGUACCCGCGGCAAGACGGAAAGACCCCGUGAACCUUUACUAUAGCUUGACACUGAACAUUGAGCCUUGAUGUGUAGGAUAGGUGGGAGGCUUUGAAGCGUGGACGCCAGUCUGCGUGGAGCCAACCUUGAAAUACCACCCUUUAAUGUUUGAUGUUCUAACGUUGGCCCCUUACCGGGGUUGCGGACAGUGUCUGGUGGGUAGUUUGACUGGGGCGGUCUCCUCCCAAAGCGUAACGGAGGAGCACGAAGGUUAGCUAAUCCUGGUCGGACAUCAGGAGGUUAGUGCAAUGGCAUAAGCUAGCUUGACUGCGAGCGUGACGGCGCGAGCAGGUGCGAAAGCAGGUCAUAGUGAUCCGGUGGUUCUGAAUGGAAGGGCCAUCGCUCAACGGAUAAAAGGUACUCCGGGGAUAACAGGCUGAUACCGCCCAAGAGUUCAUAUCGACGGCGGUGUUUGGCACCUCGAUGUCGGCUCAUCACAUCCUGGGGCUGAAGUAGGUCCCAAGGGUAUGGCUGUUCGCCAUUUAAAGUGGUACGCGAGCUGGGUUUAGAACGUCGUGAGACAGUUCGGUCCCUAUCUGCCGUGGGCGCUGGAGAAUUGAGGGGGGCUGCUCCUAGUACGAGAGGACCGGAGUGGACGCAUCACUGGUGUUCGGGUUGUCAUGCCAAUGGCACUGCCCGGUAGCUAAAUGCGGAAGAGAUAAGUGCUGAAAGCAUCUAAGCACGAAACUUGCCCCGAGAUGAGUUCUCCCUGAGACUUUAAGUCUCCUGAAGGAACGUUGAAGACGACGACGUUGAUAGGCCGGGUGUGUAAGCGCAGCGAUGCGUUGAGCUAACCGGUACUAAUGAACCGUGAGGCUUAACCUU
Molecule: ribosomal RNA, 2900 nt
Filed under: Klebsiella pneumoniae
Lineage: Bacteria; Pseudomonadati; Pseudomonadota; Gammaproteobacteria; Enterobacterales; Enterobacteriaceae
Description: bacterial LSU rRNA
Rfam family: Bacterial large subunit ribosomal RNA
Source: RNAcentral